UGUAGUGUGUGUGUGUGUGUGUGUGUGUGUGUGUGUGUGUGUUUUCAGUGUGUUUCUGGAGACGUCGUCUACCUUUCCCCUCAGUGACGGGGCUCAUCAAGGCUUCGUUUGUGAAGUCAGUGGCGUGUUAUUUCUUUUCACUUCCGCAUUUGUGUCUGAGACUUUUGCACAGUGUUUCUAUUAAGUCCAAACGGGCCGAGUUGCACGGGCUGCUGAUUUAAAAGCACACACACUUGGGUCGUGGAUGGUGAUUUUGUUUUUUGUUUGUUUGUUUGUUUUGUUUUGUUUUUUUUAAAUAAAUGUUAAUUUCAUGUACAGCAAAGUGCUUGGAAACCAAAUGUUCUCUUAAAGUGUUUCUGCUGUGUUUAUUCAAUGCUGAUGGAGGAAAAAAUAUUUAAUAUUUUAUCGCUUUCAAUCUACAGUUAAGAGUCGAUUGAUUUACUAAAUGAAAUCAUUCCGUAAAUAAAUAAAUUUAGUAAAUCAUUGGAGAUUUAUGUAGGCACUUUUUAAAAAAAAAUCAAUUUAAAAAAAAAAAAAAAAAAAAAGAUUUUAGGUGCAAAUCUCUGAGAUGACCCGAAUGCCUUUCAGGAUCAUCUUCAUGUCCUUACUGGGUUCCUCAAGUGACUGACGCCUUCAGACCUUGAAUGUAUUUAAUGUUUUUGUUUUGUGCAGACAGAUCUGAAAUAAUAUAUAUAUAUAUAAUUGUAAUAUUUACAAAACGAUUAUUUCUAUAUUGUGUAAUUGCACAGAAUUAUAUGAUUAAUAAAUGUUGAGGUGUUUCUUUA
Molecule: long non-coding RNA, 785 nt
Organism: Oreochromis niloticus (Nile tilapia)
Lineage: Eukaryota; Metazoa; Chordata; Actinopteri; Cichliformes; Cichlidae
Exons: 2
Source: RefSeq, a predicted model, not a curated record